UACGUAGGGUGCGAGCGUUAAUCGGAAUUACUGGGCGUAAAGCGUGCGCAGGCGGUUUUGUAAGCCAGAUGUGAAAUCCCCGGGCUCAACCUGGGAAUGGCAUUUGGGACUGCAAGGCUUGAGUGCGGCAGAGGAGACUGGAAUUCCUGGUGUAGCAGUGAAAUGCGUAGAUAUCAGGAGGAAUACCGGUGGCGAAGGCGGCUCUCUGGUCCAAUAUUGACGCUGAGAAACGAAAGUGCGGGGAUCAAACAGG
Molecule: ribosomal RNA, 253 nt
Filed under: uncultured bacterium
Lineage: Bacteria
Description: partial 16S ribosomal RNA
Rfam family: Bacterial small subunit ribosomal RNA
Source: RNAcentral